CUUAACACAUGCAAGUCGAGGGGCAGCACGAUGUAGCAAUACAUUGGUGGCGACCGGCGCACGGGUGAGUAACGCGUAUGCAACCUACCUAUCAGAGGGGAAUAACCCGGCGAAAGUCGGACUAAUACCGCAUAAAACAGGGGUUCCACAUGGAAAUAUUUGUUAAAGAAUUAUCGCUGAUAGAUGGGCAUGCGUUCCAUUAGAUAGUUGGUGAGGUAACGGCUCACCAAGUCCACGAUGGAUAGGGGUUCUGAGAGGAAGGUCCCCCACACUGGUACUGAGACACGGACCAGACUCCUACGGGAGGCAGCAGUGAGGAAUAUUGGUCAAUGGGCGAGAGCCUGAACCAGCCAAGUCGCGUGAAGGAUGAAGGAUCUAUGGUUUGUAAACUUCUUUUAUAUGGGAAUAAAGUGAGGAACGUGUUCCUUUUUGUAUGUACCAUAUGAAUAAGCAUCGGCUAACUCCGUGCCAGCAGCCGCGGUAAUACGGAGGAUGCGAGCGUUAUCCGGAUUUAUUGGGUUUAAAGGGUGCGUAGGUGGUUAAUUAAGUCAGCGGUGAAAGUUUGUGGCUCAACCAUAAAAUUGCCGUUGAAACUGGUUGACUUGAGUAUAUUUGAGGUAGGCGGAAUGCGUGGUGUAGCGGUGAAAUGCAUAGAUAUCACGCAGAACUCCGAUUGCGAAGGCAGCUUACUAAAC
This 695-nucleotide ribosomal RNA is filed under the name uncultured Bacteroidales bacterium. Its description in RNAcentral is "bacterial SSU rRNA". It matches the Rfam family "Bacterial small subunit ribosomal RNA", at positions 47 to 734 of the family's 1533-position model. The record is from RNAcentral. Lineage: Bacteria; Pseudomonadati; Bacteroidota; Bacteroidia; Bacteroidales.